GAGGGUAUAGCUCAAUUGGACAGAGCUCAUGCGCAAUCGUAAGUAGGAGUAGCUAACCGAACACACGAUGACCCAAGUUCGAUUCUUGGUACCUUCACCA
This 100-nucleotide transfer RNA is filed under the name Caudoviricetes sp. RNAcentral describes it as "tRNA-OTHER". It matches the Rfam family "tRNA". Rfam says of the family: Transfer RNA (tRNA) molecules are approximately 80 nucleotides in length. Their secondary structure includes four short double-helical elements and three loops (D, anti-codon, and T loops). The record is from RNAcentral. Lineage: Duplodnaviria; Heunggongvirae; Uroviricota; Caudoviricetes.